CGUAGGUGGCAAGCGUUGUCCGGAAUUACUGGGUGUAAGGGCGUGUAGGCGGGAAUGUAAGUCAGAUGUGAAAUCCCAGAGCUUAACUCUGGAGCUGCAUCUGAAACUGUGUUUCUUGAGUGUCGGAGAGGAAAGCGGAAUUCCUAGUGUAGCGGUGAAAUGCGUAGAUAUUAGGAGGAACACCAGUGGCGAAGGCGGCUUUCUGGACGAUAACUGACGCUGAGGCGCGAAAGCGUGGGGAGCAAACAGGAUUAGAUACCCUGGUAGUCCACGCUGUAAACGAUGGAUACUAGGUGUAGGGGGUAUCGACCCCCCUGUGCCGCAGUUAACACAAUAAGUAUCCCACCUGGGGAGUACGGCCGCAAGGUUG
Molecule: ribosomal RNA, 370 nt
Filed under: uncultured organism
Description: bacterial SSU rRNA
Rfam family: Bacterial small subunit ribosomal RNA
Source: RNAcentral